UCCAAGUGGGCCAUUUUUGGUAAG
This 24-nucleotide non-coding RNA is filed under the name Arabidopsis thaliana (thale cress). Lineage: Eukaryota; Viridiplantae; Streptophyta; Magnoliopsida; Brassicales; Brassicaceae. The record is from RNAcentral.